RNAcentral lists this ribosomal RNA (101 nucleotides) under Acinetobacter baumannii. The record is from RNAcentral. Lineage: Bacteria; Pseudomonadati; Pseudomonadota; Gammaproteobacteria; Moraxellales; Moraxellaceae.
CAAGAGUGAACCACCUGAUCCCUUCCCGAACUCAGAAGUGAAACCUCUUAGGGCUGAUGGUAGUGUGGGAUUCCCCAUGUGCGAGUAAGUCAUCGCCAGCU